GUGAACAAAGUUGAGGAACUGAUCAAAACGGAACAAUGGGGGGGGGGAAGUAUGACUCUUUUUCAACAACCUGCCUCUGUCUCCCAAGUGCUGGAAUUAAAGGCAUGCACCACCACUGACUAGCAGCUUAAUUCUUUUAUGAGUACCCUCUAGAAUCCUUCUCAUUUAAUAUUUUUCUUAGAGUCAAAUUGUUCAUUGCCUUAUAUUAAUUAAACAUUUGCUAUGUACCAUGUUACUCAUGUGGGUCAUUUCUCUGAAAAUUUUCACUUAAAAAAUAUGGGAAUUUUGCUGGGUAUGAAACACUACAAGAAUGGAGACUAAGCAAGACCCUGACUAAAAAGGGAAGAACCUGAAAGGACACGAGAUGCUGAACUAAAGCUUUAGCUCACACCUGUAACUCCUGAACCCAGGAGGCUGAGGCAGAGCAGCAGCAUGGUCUUGAGGCCUGCCUGGGUGAGCCGGCUUGGGCUACGAGGGGGAAAAAUGGAGGGGGAGGGAUUAAAUCCAAUUGAGUUCUAGUCUUUUGUUGCCUUGGUUCUACUCUAUUAAGUCCUGAGGUUUAGUCUUUAUGAAAAACCAUAGAUCCACACUGUAGUGUCAACCUUGUUAGAAAUGGAUUAUUUCUCCCGGAAUUUUUUUGCUGUUUCCAAAAGAGAAACUCCAUUGACAGCUCAGGCAGAGUGGCUGCCUAGCAUGUCAAGGCUCUGGGUUUGAUCUGGAGUGCCAGGGGGAAAAAAAAUCUAGUCAGAUUGUUUACUAAGAAAUCCCAGCAAUGGGACUUCAAAUGAGAAGUGUGAUUAAUAGAGCAGGGAAGAUGCUAUUCUUCUCUAGUUUCUCUUCUCCUCUACAGAUCUGAAAAAUCUGGACCCUAAAUGUGUGAACUGCCAAAGGCAGAAGCAGCAGGCAAAUAUCCCAGCCUUGAGUCAUUGUCCUCACAGUCCAAGGAAGGCGGGAGAGGCUGGAGGCAGAAGAGGCAAGCAGAAUGCACCCCAUGCCCCUCUCUGUUUCCGUCUGCUGACCACCCAUCCCACCUCUGCUGCUGACAAUUUCAAGUGGGAAGGAGCUCUUCAGUUAGCUCUUAAAAGGAUAGCAUGUAUCUCACACAGAAAACCAAAAGAAAAUAUAAUUAGUAAUUUAUUA
Molecule: long non-coding RNA, 1140 nt
Organism: Mesocricetus auratus (golden hamster)
Lineage: Eukaryota; Metazoa; Chordata; Mammalia; Rodentia; Cricetidae
Exons: 2
Source: RefSeq, a predicted model, not a curated record